Long non-coding RNA from Portunus trituberculatus (swimming crab), 231 nucleotides. RefSeq lists it as uncharacterized. The transcript is spliced from 2 exons. The record is from RefSeq and is a predicted model, not a curated record. Lineage: Eukaryota; Metazoa; Arthropoda; Malacostraca; Decapoda; Portunidae.
UGUGUGUGUGUGUGUGUGUGUGUGUGUGUGUGUGUGUGUGUGUGUGUGUGUGUUAUGUCAAAAAAUAUAUGAUUCUUAUUUCAACUCUGAAUUUAUGGUUGAUGAAAUCCCACGAGAAUUGUUAUUACUGAAAGAGAGAGAGAGAGAGAGAGAGAGAGAGAGAGAGAGAGAGAGAGAGAGAGAGAGAGAGAGAGAGAGAGAGAGAGAGAGAGAGAGAGAGAGAGAGAGAGA